CAAAUGACUCUCGGCAAUGGAUAUCUCGGCUCUUGCAUCGAUGAAGAACGUAGUGAAAUGCGRUACUUGGUGUGAAUUGCAGAAUCUCGCGAACCAUUGAGUCUUUGAACGCAAGUUGURCCCGAGGCCUUGUGGUCGAGGGCACGCCUGCUUGGGUGUCAUGAC
This 165-nucleotide ribosomal RNA is filed under the name Curcuma gracillima. RNAcentral's name for it is "5.8S ribosomal RNA". It matches the Rfam family "5.8S ribosomal RNA". Rfam says of the family: 5.8S ribosomal RNA (5.8S rRNA) is a component of the large subunit of the eukaryotic ribosome. The record is from RNAcentral. Lineage: Eukaryota; Viridiplantae; Streptophyta; Magnoliopsida; Zingiberales; Zingiberaceae.